CUUAAAAUCCGUCUGCUACUAGCUAGCUGGCUGGCAAAAAAAGAAAAAUAAACAUCUACAUGCCUUUUGCUUGCAUAUGCAAUUCAGAGUCAAGCCCUUCAAGCUCCAUUACAGAAGUAAAGUCCACAGAAAAAUUAAGAAACAUUUUUGCAGGGUCACCAAAGAGUGUCUCCUUAAGGACUGGGCUGAAGUAUAUACUCCUGGAAGAACUGGUACCUAUACCACAGGAACAUUCCUUGUUGUAAAGCUUUUGUGGAUGGAGGGAUACUAUAUCAAGAAUUAUUGCUCUGAAAUAUUUACAUUU
Non-coding RNA from Pelodiscus sinensis (Chinese soft-shelled turtle), 304 nucleotides. Lineage: Eukaryota; Metazoa; Chordata; Testudines; Trionychidae. The record is from RefSeq and is a predicted model, not a curated record.